This 499-nucleotide ribosomal RNA is filed under the name uncultured bacterium. Its description in RNAcentral is "bacterial SSU rRNA". It matches the Rfam family "Bacterial small subunit ribosomal RNA", at positions 30 to 517 of the family's 1533-position model. The record is from RNAcentral.
AUUGAACGCUGGCGGCAUGCCUAACACAUGCAAGUCGAACGGCAACAGGUACUAGUUUACUAGUAUGCUGGCGAGUGGCGGACGGGUGAGUAACGCGUAGGAAUAUGUCCUAAAGAGUGGGAUAACUUGGGGAAACUCAGGCUAAUACCGCAUAAGCUCUAAGGAGUAAAGCUGGGGACCGUAAGGCCUGGCGCUUUAGGAGUAGCCUGCGUCCGAUUAGCUAGUUGGUAGGGUAAGAGCCUACCAAGGCGACGAUCGGUAGCUGGUCUGAGAGGAUGAUCAGCCACACUGGGACUGAGACACGGCCCAGACUCCUACGGGAGGCAGCAGUGGGGAAUAUUGGACAAUGGGGGCAACCCUGAUCCAGCAAUGCCGCGUGUGUGAAGAAGGCCUGAGGGUUGUAAAGCACUUUCAUUGGGGAGGAGGAUUGACGGGUUAAGAGCUGGUCAAUUGGACGUUACCCAAAGAGAAGCACCGGCUAACUCCGUGCCAGCAGCCG